Molecule: ribosomal RNA, 301 nt
Filed under: uncultured bacterium
Lineage: Bacteria
Description: partial 16S ribosomal RNA
Rfam family: Bacterial small subunit ribosomal RNA
Source: RNAcentral
CAGCCGCCGCGGUAAUACGAAGGGGGCUAGCGUUGUUCGGAAUCACUGGGCGUAAAGCGCACGUAGGCGGACUUUUAAGUCAGGGGUGAAAUCCCAAGGCUCAACCUUGGAACUGCCUUUGAUACUGGAAGUCUUGAGUUCGGGAGAGGUGAGUGGAACUGCGAGUGUAGAGGUGAAAUUCGUAGAUAUUCGCAAGAACACCAGUGGCGAAGGCGGCUCACUGGCCCGAUACUGACGCUGAGGUGCGAAAGCGUGGGGAGCAAACAGGAUUAGAUACCCGGGUAGUCCCUGUCUCUUAUAC